UAUGGAUUGAGGAGGCACUUAUUUGUAAC
RNAcentral lists this non-coding RNA (29 nucleotides) under Cricetulus griseus (Chinese hamster). Lineage: Eukaryota; Metazoa; Chordata; Mammalia; Rodentia; Cricetidae. The record is from RNAcentral.